RNAcentral lists this unclassified non-coding RNA (329 nucleotides) under Hevea brasiliensis (rubber tree). The record is from RNAcentral. Lineage: Eukaryota; Viridiplantae; Streptophyta; Magnoliopsida; Malpighiales; Euphorbiaceae.
GGGUUUAGUUACUCGUGCAACCAAGAAAUUUCUGCACCUUAUUGUGUUAGGGAGUUUUAAGGGGAAUAAGAGAAGGCACGCAAAUGUGAGCCAAGUUGUGGUGGUUAAAUAUACAUACAUACAUUGAUAGACAGUGUCCAAGAGAGAAAGAAGGAAAUAAAAUAGCUAUUAUAUGCUUUGACCAUAUAUUGAGUAAAUAAGGAAUAAGAGACUAUGUUUGAAUUUUUGAGCCACAUAGGUAAAAUUGGGUCCAUCCAAGUAGUUUUGCUUGCAUGCUACAUUAGGCCAAAAACUUCUACUUUCAUCUUAUAUGAAGAAAAUAGCACAUU